This 1589-nucleotide unclassified non-coding RNA is filed under the name Leishmania donovani. RNAcentral describes it as "gene:LdHU3.21.0890(CDS-product:hypothetical_prote in_conserved)". The record is from RNAcentral. Lineage: Eukaryota; Euglenozoa; Kinetoplastea; Trypanosomatida; Trypanosomatidae.
GAAUUACAUGACACCCACUUUGUGUUCAUGCACGCCACCUACUUGCAAAGGGUCACUCGGCAUUUUUGCGAGGAUAAAGGGAAAGAAUUUGACAUUGCGGCGGAGGUUAGACAUGCAGGCCAGGCCACGGAUGUGCGCCAUCUCGUACCCUUGACAAAAGCGGGCAUACAGCACUUUUCGACCUUUUUGCCACCAGUAAGAAGCAAAGAUGACCUCGAUACUCUGCCCGAGAGGCUGAAAGGGAGCGAGGAGCUUGGCUUCUCGCCUUUGUUCGACCCCUCUUUGAUUGAUGCGUGCUGCCAGCGCGGCAUUUUUCCCUUGGCGAUUGCAAUCGACGACAACAAUUUUCUCUUUGCUCCAAAGCUGCACGCGGAGAGGGCUGUUUGCGCGCUUGCUGAAGGCGCAGCACAGCGCAACACUAUGGAUGGUUUUCCCUUCUGUGAGGGUGACGAGGGCAUUUUCGACAAGGAUUGCCUGGGGGUUUCGCGAAAGCUCACAAAAGCGCCGAACGAAAGUACCCGUUGUCCCUCGUUCGACAUUUUCAUUAAUCGAAAAGAGGACCUAGUCGACGUUUUUACGCUAAUAAGGCGGCAGCAUGGCGAAAAUUGGCUGUGCGCGCCGCUACGAGUGUGUUUGCUCCACAUGUUUUUCAAUCCAACCAAGUACGCAACCAAAAUUAUUGUCACUGCUGUUCGUCAUCGACAAUAUAGCAACGUGCCUAUCUCAGGGAACUCACCUGUGAUUCAAGAAGGGGAGCUCGUUGCAUGCGAAGUUGGCUAUCUAGUUGGAGACAUUUACGCUUCCGCAACCGGUGCAUACUGUAUUAGCGGCGGUGGGUCUCUGCAAUUGAGCCUAACUGGCGUUUGCAUGAAAUCGGCUGGUUGCCGCUUAUGGGAUUUGGGAAUGAUGUUGAGAUACAAGAAAUCUCUGCAAUGCGUUUCUUUACCUCGUAAAAAAUGGCAAAAGAUGGUCUCAGCGCGCCGCUCGAUCCCCAACGAACAUAUUUUGAACUAUUUGCGAGAUUUGGAGAAAGGGCGCCCAGUGAGUGACUUUUUAAAAAGUGACGUACCACCUGCCAUCGCCGAUCCGAACAGCAAGUCGCAACACAAGAAGCGGCUAAAGAAAGAGGCUGCUAUCCAGCGAAAGGCAGAAAGAAGAAGGCUUGAUCUAUAGGCUUGAUCAGCUACUUGGCUUUCAACAAUAUACGUAUAUAUAUAUAUAUAUAUGUAUGUAUUUGGUGGUCUUGUAUUGUCUAGCUGUCUCACAUUUUGCGCCCCCAAGAGACGACAGCAGUGAAAAAAAAAGGAGAGCAUGUCCAGAAAUAGGGAAGGCUUUGUAGCUGCCUCUCUCUUUUGUACACGUUCAGCCUUUUCUUCUAUGGUGGCAACGUGUCGAACGAAGUACGAUUCGGAAGGAUCGUAUGCGCAGACGUUUAAUCCUUUCUCGUUAAACUAUUUUGCUUCAUGCUUUACCAUCUCACUCUUUUCCUUUCCUUUAAUUAUCUCUAUCUUUCGAUGGCCUAUUUUCUGCGUUUUCACUCACAACGCCAAAACUCCUUUGUGUGCUCAUUGCAUUCUCGCGCGAUCAAG